This 1332-nucleotide ribosomal RNA is filed under the name uncultured bacterium. RNAcentral describes it as "bacterial SSU rRNA". It matches the Rfam family "Bacterial small subunit ribosomal RNA", at positions 28 to 1381 of the family's 1533-position model. The record is from RNAcentral.
AACGAACGCUGGCGGCGUGGAUAAGACAUGCAAGUCGAACGGGAGAAUUGCUAGCUUGCUAAUAAUUCUCUAGUGGCGCACGGGUGAGUAACACGUGAGUAACCUGCCUCUUAGUGGGGGAUAGCCCUGGGAAACCGGGAUUAAUACCGCAUACGAUUGAAAGAUCAAAGCAGCAAUGCGCUAGGAGAUGGGCUCGCGGCCUAUUAGUUAGUUGGUGAGGUAACGGCUCACCAAGGCGAUGACGGGUAGCCGGUCUGAGAGGAUGUCCGGCCACACUGGAACUGAGACACGGUCCAGACACCUACGGGUGGCAGCAGUCGAGAAUCAUUCACAAUGGGGGCAACCCUGAUGGUGCGACGCCGCGUGGGGGAAUGAAGGUCUUCGGAUUGUAAACCCCUGUCAUGUGGGAGCAAAUUAAAAAGAUAGUACCACAAGAGGAAGAGACGGCUAACUCUGUGCCAGCAGCCGCGGUAAUACAGAGGUCUCAAGCGUUGUUCGGAAUCACUGGGCGUAAAGCGUGCGUAGGCUGUUUCGUAAGUCGUGUGUGAAAGGCAGGGGCUCAACCCCUGGAUUGCACAUGAUACUGCGAGACUAGAGUAAUGGAGGGGGAACCGGAAUUCUCGGUGUAGCAGUGAAAUGCGUAGAUAUCGAGAGGAACACUCGUGGCGAAGGCGGGUUCCUGGACAUUAACUGACGCUGAGGCACGAAGGCCAGGGGAGCGAAAGGGAUUAGAUACCCCUGUAGUCCCGGCAGUAAACGGUGCACGCUUGGUGUGCGGGGAAUCGACCCCCUGCGUGCCGGAGCUAACGCGUUAAGCGUGCCGCCUGGGGAGUACGGUCGCAAGAUUAAAACUCAAAGAAAUUGACGGGGACCCGCACAAGCGGUGGAGUAUGUGGCUUAAUUCGAUGCAACGCGAAGAACCUUACCUGGGCUUGACAUGUAAUGAACAACAUGUGAAAGCAUGCGACUCUUCGGAGGCGUUACACAGGUGCUGCAUGGCCGUCGUCAGCUCGUGUCGUGAGAUGUUUGGUUAAGUCCAGCAACGAGCGCAACCCCUGUUGCCAGUUACCAUCGAGUAAUGUCGGGGACUCUGGCGAGACUGCCCAGAUCAACUGGGAGGAAGGUGGGGACGACGUCAGGUCAGUAUGGCCCUUAUGCCCAGGGCUGCACACGUACUACAAUGCCCAGUACAGAGGGGGCCGAAGCCGCGAGGCGGAGGAAAUCCUGAAAACUGGGCCCAGUUCGGACUGUAGGCUGCAACCCGCCUACACGAAGCCGGAAUCGCUAGUAAUGGCGCAUCAGCUACGGCGCCGUGAAUACGUUCCCGGGUCU